Solanum lycopersicum (tomato) is the source of this 505-nucleotide non-coding RNA. NCBI's taxonomy places the organism in Eukaryota, Viridiplantae, Streptophyta, Magnoliopsida, Solanales, Solanaceae. The record is from RefSeq and is a predicted model, not a curated record.
CAAUAUGAACAGCAUAUAAGCAUCUCAAUAUAGAUAUCGAGAUUUUACAAUCAAUCGUAAUGAAUAAAAGGUCUACAUAUUUAAUUCAAAAGAAAACAAAUAGAUAAAUUAUUAAAGAAAAUUGGGAAAAUGCACAAGUAUUCCCCUAGACUAUGACCGAAAUCCCAAAGAUACACCUUAAUUAAACAAAGGUGUGUCUCUGAAAUUUCGGUCAUAGUCUAAGGGGUACUCAUGCAAUCCCUAGAAAAUAAAUAGAAUAGAAUUUAUAGUAAUACACUAAGAAUAAUAAUAGCUAAACUGCUAAAGAAUGCUUAGAUAACAGUAAUUCAUCAACUUGUUCACUAUUAGUUAAAUUUGUGCUGAAUUGCCCAAAAAAUCAAGAUACCAGGGAAUAUUUAGACCUGAAUUUGUAUCCAAUCAUCAGGUUCUCUUUUAUUUGGGGAUGUCAGUGAACUACCAGGGAAAGCAGCAAAGUUCGCAUUUAUCACCCAUAAAUGGAUUGGAG